GCAGUUAGGUGGAAGCUCUAUUGCAAUGCCAAUCUCUGCAAGUCUGGGACAGUUCUGUGCCUGGAGUGGAAGCUAGGACUAGGAACCACUGUGCUAAAUCUCUGCAAUUCACUCUUUCGCUAAGGGAGCUGCUCCUGUCACUAGCCAAUCAGGGCCUCGAAGCGGACUGGUAGUCAGAAUAGGAGCGGACACUUCCGGUCCGCUAUAGUGCAGGCUCGACUGAGUGUCUGAGGGAGGCUCCCCGCGGUCUCUGUUCCGUGCUGUGACUUGCCGACCGGACCUGUGAGCAGAGCUGGGCGAGCUCGGAAUCCGCACCAUGGACGACCAGCCCAAGGACGGCACCACCCACAAUGGGCUGGACACUCCACCACCAAUCACUAAUUAAGAAAAUGCUGUACAGGCUCGCCUCUAGCUUCAUCUUCUGGAGGGAACAGGUUACAUUCAUUUAAGAAAUGGUGUGUGUAUUAAGAUGGUCUAUCCAUGAAGUCAUGCAUCAAAUAUUUCAAUGAAGAAUUGUUCUGCUUGGAAGAUGGCACAGACAUUAGUGCUACCUGCCCUGGAUAUAUCUGACUGGAGCCUGUCCUUCCUGUGAUCCUGGUUGUGUCAGAAAUCCUCCGAGUCAAGCUGUCUCUGUGAUCCUGUGAUCCUGAGAUCCUGGGUGUAUCCGAGCUCCUGGGAGUCAAGCUGCCUUUGGGAUCUUGAGAUCCUGGAUACACUGACCUAUGAGGAUGUGUAUGUGAAAUUCACUCAUGAAGAGUGGGCUUUGUUGAAUCCUUCCCAGAAGAGUCUCUACAAAGAUGUGAUGCUGCAAACCUGCAGGAACCUCAUUGCUAUAGGUAAGAAUGUUAGUUUUUCCUUCACUUGCUAGACAAGGAGACAAGUGUUUGUUGGUUAUUGGUGAUCUCAAUUAUGAAGGUAAAAGAAUGUGGUGAAUAAAUCAGGCAUGGUUCUAAGGUUCAAUGAAGCUAGUGACUUAAAUUUUGUAUAAUUUCUAAUAAUAUAGCAGACAUUUUCUGGUACUAUAUUUUAGGCUACAAAUGGAACAACCAGAAUAUUGAAGAACAUUGUCAAAGUUCUGGAAAACAUGAAAGACAGCUCAUUUUAUGAAUCUAUCUCAUCUGGACCUAGUGGUGUAUUUUGGAGACAUACAAGUGGAUCUUUCUGAGUUUAAGGCUAUCUUGUUCAACAUGGUAAGUUCCAGGAUACCAAUAGCCACGUAGAGUGAUCCUUUCUAAAAAGAACCAAAAAGGAAAAAAGUAUGCAAAUGUAGCACAUAUCACAUUAUGGAACCUUUCCUAAUAACAUUCUGUACUCAUCUUUAUUCAAUUAAACCAUUCAAUUCCAUGUCUUCACAGUGAUUAGACGCUGCAAUAUUUGAGUACUGAUUACUUGAACAACUGUUAACCUACAAAAAAAAUGUCCAUUAGAUAAGACAAUUUAAAAAUACAUAACUUUCAGAAAUUCUUAGGGGAUAGUGAUUGGACGCAUCCUACUUUAGGAGUACCCAACUAUGCAGUAACCAUAUUAUUCAAAACUCUAGAAGGUCAGAUGUCAUUGCACAGUCCUCAGCUAUUAUCUCACGGGGCAAUGAUAGCUAUCUGAAUCCAGACUAAAAGAGUCAUUGGUGUAGCAUUUGGAUUCUUUGCUGCCUUUAAACCUACUCUUUUCUCCCCCUACUAAAUUGUCUCCUACAGGUAUUAUAUAUCACAAGAGAAUAAACCUUUGGAAUAGGUAUAUUUAUACCAUAAGGACUAUGAAAUGCCAAGUGCCUUCCUUGCUUUUCUUCCUGUGUUUAUUUAUUAUCCCUAACAAUCAAUGUUUAAGAGUGCUACACAACUCUAUGGAUUCAUUUGUAGAUUACCUUAGAAGGAUAGGAAAUCAUUGUCCAGCUGUCCAGCAAUGGAAUUUUCUCAUAGAAACUGAAUUUAUGAUUCCAAAAUUUCCCAACAUUUUCCUACUCCAUGGGUAGGUACUUAUUUUAUUGAUGACUCAUCUGAUUGAUGAUAAGGAGAGAUUCAGGGUCCAAAGAGUCCUCAAUCAAUGCUUCUUCCUCAGGCCAACAGGUGGAACUGUUGUUUUGAUUCUUCUAAUACAAUUUAUGAACCUUUAAAUAACAUUUUAGGUUUUGUUUAUGUAGUUGGAUUGUUUCCAGCAGUAAAAGUUGUUUCAGUUUCAUCGUCACAUCUUGCUAUGCUUAUUCCAUAGGCAUUGCAUCUGAUUGAAACCCUCACGUAUCCUUUGUGUAUUCCUCAUACUCAUACACACUCUCACUCCCGAUUUCACUGCAGAAGGAAAUAAGCAAGACGAUGCAUUAACUUGCCCUCCCUCCACUUACUCCUCCGGAGCAGGAACUACACACUAACGCUAACAGAUUCAUGUGCCACAUCUUGCUUAGAUGAACAUGAAAAUUGUGCAGGAAUGUCCUAUUUGUACUCUCUUUGACUGUCAUGGUUGUAUAGUUAAGGUUAUUCCCAGAGUUAAAAAUACUAAUGGCAAAUGGAUAUCACUCACUUUGUUCUUGUGCCUUUGAUGCCAUACCUGCAUUUAUACAUGUUCCAAAAUCUCUUUGGACUGUACCUCUAUCCCGAGAGAAUCCUUCUGUGGUGUGCUCUUCCCUUAUACAAACUUUUGCUGUUAUGGGAGUGCCUCUUUGUAUAUAAAUAGAUGAUGUUGUAAAGAAGUUCUUUAGGAAAUGGAAUAUUAAUCUCUAUAAUUCAUUAUAAUCCUCAAGGCCAGGAUAUAAUUGAAAGAUCACAUAGAACAUUACAAACAAUGAUUAAAACAUAAAAAGUGGAAACACCAGGGGUAUUCUUGCACUUAUUUACUCUCAAUUUUAAAAAUUUGCCUCCAGGUGAUUUGUGGUUGAGAGCAAAACAAACAAACAAACAAACAACCCAUUUGUCUGCAGAGCUUUCUGAACUGCCUUUAAAUAGGCCUGUGUGGUUUGAAGAAUUUGAGACUUUGAAUCCUAGUUGGCUGAAACAAAAUUAUGAAGUGUACAUGUCUAUCAUUGCUGAGUGAUCUACUGAAUCAUUGUAUAUUCCUCUUCAGUUACUCUGGCUCCCAGCCAUCAAGGAAAAUGGUUGAGGGCAAGGAGACAGUGGAAGUCACCAGAAAGAUAGCAAAUCUGCUGUUAAAGGGUAAAAGAAGACAGUGACCAUAUCAUCAAAAAUCCAGCCUGCUCACAUCAGGUCUAGUUAAGGUCAUGUGUACCAAGAGUGAAGAAUGUGUAAUUAGCAUCCAGAACCUGUGUUAUCUGUUUUUCUGGUGAUGCUAUCUGCUCUGAUCUGUGCAUCUGCAGUGAGUGUCUCUGAAUUCAUUUUUCCUCAUCAUUUGUUGCUACAGGUUGGAGACGGAAUGGCUCCAGCUCCUGUCCUUUACUAAUGACAAUGUGUUUAUGACUGGAUCCUGGAAGCAUAAUACACUCAUUCAUUAAUCUGAA
Molecule: long non-coding RNA, 3442 nt
Organism: Mus musculus (house mouse)
Lineage: Eukaryota; Metazoa; Chordata; Mammalia; Rodentia; Muridae
Product: predicted gene, 40720
Exons: 6
Source: RefSeq, a predicted model, not a curated record